This 394-nucleotide ribosomal RNA is filed under the name Clostridioides difficile. Its description in RNAcentral is "bacterial LSU rRNA". It matches the Rfam family "Bacterial large subunit ribosomal RNA", at positions 1 to 395 of the family's 2925-position model. The record is from RNAcentral. Lineage: Bacteria; Bacillati; Bacillota; Clostridia; Peptostreptococcales; Peptostreptococcaceae.
UGGUCAAGUUAUUAAGGGUGCAGGGCGGAUGCCUUGGCACUAGGAGCCGAUGAAGGACGUGAUAAGCUGCGAUAAGCUUCGGGGAGUUGCACGUAAACUUUGAUCCGAAGAUUUCCGAAUGAGGAAACUCACUUAGAGUAAUGUCUAAGUAUCAUUAAGUGAAUACAUAGCUUAAUGAGGGGAACUCAGGGAACUGAAACAUCUAAGUACCUGAAGGAAGAGAAAGAAAUUCGAUUCCGUAAGUAGCGGCGAGCGAACGCGGAUUAGCCCAAACCAAUAAAGUUUUCUUUAUUUGGGUUGCGGACAUAUCAUAACGAAGAGGUAUCGUAAUUGAAGAGGUUUGGAAAGACCCACCACAGAAGGUAAUAGUCCUGUAUGUUAAACGAGAAGACUU